Molecule: ribosomal RNA, 253 nt
Filed under: uncultured bacterium
Lineage: Bacteria
Description: partial 16S ribosomal RNA
Rfam family: Bacterial small subunit ribosomal RNA
Source: RNAcentral
UACGAAGGGGGCUAGCGUUGCUCGGAAUCACUGGGCGUAAAGCGCACAUAGGCGGACUCUUAAGUCAGGGGUGAAAUCCUGGAGCUCAACUCCAGAACUGCCUUUGAUACUGGGAGCCUUGAGUUCGGGAGAGGUGAGUGGAACUGCGAGUGUAGAGGUGAAAUUCGUAGAUAUUCGCAAGAACACCAGUGGCGAAGGCGGCUCACUGGCCCGAUACUGACGCUGAGGUGCGAAAGCGUGGGGAGCAAACAGG